CUCCUACGGAGGCAGCAGUAAGGAAUAUUGGUCAAUGGGCGGAAGCCUGAACCAGCCAUGCCGCGUGCAGGAAGACGGCCUACGGGUUGUAAACUGCUUUUGCAGGGGAAUAAACCUCAUUACGUGUAAUGAGUUGAAUGUACUCUGACGAAUAAGGAUCGGCUAACUCCGUGCCAGCAGCCGCGGAAUAC
Molecule: ribosomal RNA, 191 nt
Filed under: uncultured bacterium
Lineage: Bacteria
Description: partial 16S ribosomal RNA
Rfam family: Bacterial small subunit ribosomal RNA
Source: RNAcentral